UAACUGGUUGAUCCUGCCAGUA
This 22-nucleotide non-coding RNA is filed under the name Xenopus tropicalis (tropical clawed frog). RNAcentral also lists the same sequence under 1 other name. Lineage: Eukaryota; Metazoa; Chordata; Amphibia; Anura; Pipidae. The record is from RNAcentral.